This is a long non-coding RNA of Phragmites australis (common reed), 307 nucleotides long. RefSeq lists it as uncharacterized. NCBI's taxonomy places the organism in Eukaryota, Viridiplantae, Streptophyta, Magnoliopsida, Poales, Poaceae. The record is from RefSeq and is a predicted model, not a curated record. The transcript is spliced from 3 exons.
ACAAGGUGGAGGCGCUGUACGAGCUGUACAAGAAGAUCCCUUCAAACUGACCAACAGAUCUAGCACUGAAUUGUGGCCUGCCAUUGUGUUAAGCUUUGCGCUGGAUGAUCAGCCAGAAGGUGCAGGACUGCUGAGGUGCAACUUGUCGGCAUUGUAUCUUUGCAUUAUCAGGAUGUGCACGAACUAAGAAAGAAGUUUCUGGUUGACCUGCUAAAAUACAAUGGGAAUGAAUCUAAAGACAACAUCCCUGAAGUUGUACGAGAAUUUGUUAAACGUAUUAGAUAGUGUAUUGUUUCGGAAUGAGAUA